This 536-nucleotide ribosomal RNA is filed under the name Acalles lemur cisalpinus. RNAcentral describes it as "partial 16S ribosomal RNA". It matches the Rfam family "Bacterial large subunit ribosomal RNA", at positions 1828 to 2625 of the family's 2925-position model. Lineage: Eukaryota; Metazoa; Arthropoda; Insecta; Coleoptera; Curculionidae. The record is from RNAcentral.
GUCCUUUUGAGUAUAAUUUAAGGUCGGGCCUGCCCAAUGAUUUAUUAAAUGGCCGCGGUAUAUUGACCGUGCAAAGGUAGCAUAAUCAUUAGUUUUUUAAUUGAAAGCUUGCAUGAAGGGUUUAAUGAGAAAAAUACUGUCUCUAUUUAAAUUAAUUAGAAUUUUAUAUUUAAGUUAAAAAGCUUAAGUAAUUGUUGAAGACGAGAAGACCCUAUAGAGUUUAAUAUUUUAUUUAGUAAGAUUGUUAUUAGGAAUUUAAAAUUUUUAUUAUUUAAGAGUAUUUAAUUGGGGUGAUUAAAAAAUUAAUUAAACUUUUUUUUUUACUUACAUUGAUUAAUGAAUUAUUGAUCCUUUAUUUGAGAUUAAAAGAUACAAUUACCUUAGGGAUAACAGCGUAAUUUUUUUUAGAGUUCUUAUCGAAAAAAAAGAUUGCGACCUCGAUGUUGGAUUAAAAUAAAUUAUUGGUGUAGAAGCUAAUAAAUUAGGUCUGUUCGACCUUUAAAUUUUUACAUGAUCUGAGUUUAAACCGGUGUAAG